UGUGCUAAAUACCGCAUAAUCUCUCAGGAGAAAAGCAGGGGAUCGCAAGACCUUGCGCUUUAGGAGCGGCCGAUGCCUGAUUAGCUUGUUGGUAAGGUAAAAGCUUACCAAGGCUUCGAUCAGUAGCUGGUCUGAGAGGACGACCAGCCACACUGGGACGGAGACACGGCCCAGACCCCUACGGGAGGCAGCAGUGGGGAAUUUUGGACAAUGGGGGAAACCCUGAUCCAGCCAUGCCGCGUGAGUGAAGAAGGCCUUCGGGUUGUAAAGCUCUUUCAGUCGGAACGAAACGGU
This 294-nucleotide ribosomal RNA is filed under the name uncultured Pseudomonadota bacterium. RNAcentral's name for it is "uncultured proteobacterium partial 16S ribosomal RNA". It matches the Rfam family "Bacterial small subunit ribosomal RNA", at positions 158 to 454 of the family's 1533-position model. The record is from RNAcentral. Lineage: Bacteria; Pseudomonadati; Pseudomonadota.